GCACGCCUUCACCAAAAUUAGUAACUUAGAACCGUUGGAUGAAGAUGAGACAAUUCAUAUUAUCCCUUGGUUGGCUAGCUUAUUUCCUACACAAGAUGCUAGGUUUGUUGCUUGAAAGCUGUGAUUUCAAGGUGCCAGCAACCUAAAGCUUAUUAAUCAAGCUUAAAACAUAAAUUUGGUAAUAUUAUGCAAAAACAGACACAAGCUGCAUGCAGAGGUAUCUGCCAAGUUUCUCAAAAUAUUAUCCUACUAGUUCUCUAAUGAAGGAAAACUUAAACAUGAGAUGACUCAUGAGUUCUUUUAUAUGCUCUUUUAUAUGCUGUCACAGGUUAACUUGCUCGGGAAGUAUACGAGGGAUUGCGGCAAGAGGCUUCUAGUCUGAUCAUUCAGAGGUGAAUACCAGUAGUGGUAUGUAUGGUUUUCACGACUGUUAAUUUGUUCUUUGUGUUUUUUGGAUUUACCCC
This 464-nucleotide long non-coding RNA is filed under the name Trifolium pratense (red clover). Its description in RNAcentral is "long non-coding RNA (TPRA_LNC013454)". The record is from RNAcentral. Lineage: Eukaryota; Viridiplantae; Streptophyta; Magnoliopsida; Fabales; Fabaceae.